GCUAGUUUAUGUUGAUCAUGAUCGCCUGACCCAUACUACUUUAGCGGUUCUCGUAUCGGGUGGCCUCGGUAGCUCAAUUAAUACUAAUAGAGCGUUGGCACGGUAAGCCGAAGGUCCGAGGUUCGAACCCCAGUCGAGGCUGCACAUUUUUCCCGAGACUGUUACAUCUGGGGGCUCGUCCGGGAUUCUCACCCUUGGAGCCCAUGCGGGGCGAAACAGUUUGGCUGGGGUGUGCAUCUGAAUUCGGUUAACAGUCUGCGGCAGACACUGGCCAGGAGUGUCAAUAUCUUGAAUAAGAGGGAAAGUGUGUAGCGGUUCUCGUAUCGGGUCGCCUCGAUAGCUCAAUUAAUAGAGCGUUGGCACAGUAAGCCGAAGGUCCGUGGUUUGAAUCCCGGUCGAUGCUAAACAUUUUUCCUGAGACUGUUACACUAGAAACCUUAAUUUCCUCAUACCCCAGUCUCAAACACAGCACCAUCUCAACUCUUUCUUCCCUACUACUUGCUAUCCGCUAGUACUGGAAUACUCUCCCCAAGUCACAUCCAAGCUAGUCCCAGCCUAAAUAUCUUUAUCCUGUUUUCUCAUAUUCUCGGGGGCCUAAGGGGUUGUUUUUAUUCCCAGUAACAGAUUAACCAUUUCAUAAACAGCAUUUGGGUGUUGUUUUGUAGAAAAUUUACUUGUCUUUCAGAUGGAGUCAUAAAAUGUCACUGAAAUUAUCACAUUUAAUUAUUUUGUUUCUGUAUUUGAUAUCCUCACCCACAGAAAUGGACCAAGAGUUUCUCGUAUUCCCGUGGACAAAUAAUUAAGUUGUAGAAAUUAAAACAUUAAAAUUACCAUUGUGUUAUAAAAAGAUAUAUUCUGUAAUAAAUACAUCAAGAAAUAUUACAAUUUACCGGCAUAAUCAAUCUAAUUUAUGGCAAAUUUGCUAACACCACCAGAAAAAAAUAAGGAAUUUUUUGAAAAUUGAGUAAAAUGCUGAUAGUUUCGUCAAUAUGCAUUCAAAUCACUUGAAAUUUUCAGUUUGUCAGUUUUGUACCAUUCCUGUCUAAGAACACAGGCAAUUAUUUGACAACUUGAAGGCAAAAAACGAGAAUAUGAGAAACCCUGAGAAUACAAGAAACAGGGAUACACUGUGAUUUAAUAUAUUUUAUGAUAAAUGCUUUUUCUUACCAAGCUGCCUCUAGGUAAACAAUCCUUUCCAUCAACACCAGAGACUCUGUAUAUUCUGCAGCCGUAGUUGGUUACACACUACACAAAAACCUCGCGUUUUGAAUUGGAUGCUUUCAUUAUUUGUACACGGGGUGGCGGGUGAUCAGUCGCUACAUUCUUAAAUAUUGUAGUAUCUACCGACUAUUAAAAUGAAUGGAUUAAUAAAACUUUUUAACAUUUGUAUAAAGCUUACGGAAUGUUUGUUAUUAUAAACGCCUACAACCGCUGAUUAGAACUUAAAUAAGAAAUGAUGCAUUAACCAAGCUGACACCCCUAAUCUUAGCGUAUUAUGAAAUGGACGCGUCGAUUCAAUUACACAUGACUGGUCCACGACUACUGAGACUUGCGUUUAUGAUUCGAAGAGUGAAAACGGAUACCAGUCGACUACAUACACACGCGUUUGUUUAUUCCUUUGUGUGUUGGAAAUUAUUGAUGGUCCUUCUGUCACUGUCCGUAAUUUAGCGAUUUGCCAAGCAAGCAGCAGAUGGAGUAGAGCAGACCUCUUUUCUCGACUGCAGUGGCUUGGCAUUGGAUGCCCUAAUAAGAAGAUUGACUUGACUUUUUAAUGCGAUUCCGUGUAUCACACAACUUACAAGACAAUAUGUUUCAUUAUAUAUCUAUGAUCAUAUUUAGGAUACAUGUUAAUGACCAUUGUAAGAUUGUGUGUAACAUACAAGACUUGGGCCACUUGCAUCAAGGUCAAGUUCAGAUAUAGAAUUCAGCUGCAUACAGUCUACCACAUAGCUACUAAACCCUAUGAAAGGAGCUGUCGGUAUUUCCAUGGUGCAGCUAUCACCAGUUUCAAAAUGGAAACAGAUGGUGAGUCUCAAGCAAAAAAGAAAAGUGGAUCUCUCCUAACGACUUAAAAGGAUAACAUUAUCUUGCAUAGCAUUUUUCUCCGAAGGGAUUGAUUCAAACAAGCACAUUGUGACAAGUAUCCCACUGAAGGCAAGUUCUACAACAAGGAAGCGGACUCCACCAACCGAAUAUAUCGACGUUCAAAAAGGGCUUAAAUUUGUUUACCGAUCAAAACUAUGCCAUAAGACAUGAAUCGCCCUCCAAUUAAAACAAAACAUAUGGAGAAGUCAGUCACUUUCAAAUCAAGUAACAAUUUAAGAUAUGAGACGAUUCUAAUGAUGACAAUGAAUAUUUAUUUGGUGCUCAUGAAGGCUUUGUCAUUGAUAAGGCAGAUAAGUUGAUUUAAAUUUCUUUGUUUUCAACAAAGAGAAAAGUUGAAAAGAAAAGCAUUUUAGGAGUACUAAAAGAUGUUAUAGAAAUAUUUGAGAUAGAAUGUAAAAACUCGCCCUUCUUAGGGUCUGCUAAUUUAGGGCUAAAAUAAAAUAAAAACAUAUAAUCGACUUCUUUUCGUGAAUUGAUUGAUGGAUUUUUGUCUGUAGCAUUAUUAUAAGGUCCUCGCAUUAAACACGGUUGGGGUUAUAGGAAUGGUCUCCUUCUGACAUAUAUGAGCCAUAUAACUCAAACCUAGACUAAAAGAUUUUUAGCUAACCUUAGCACGAAGUGCUCAAAGUUGAGCUUUUGUGAUCGCCCUGUGUCUGUCGUCGUCAACAAUUUGACUGUUAACACUCUAGAAGUCACAAUUUUGGUCUAAUCUUAAUGAAACUUGGUCAGAAUGUUACCCUCAAUAAAAACUUGGACGUGUUCGAUAAUGGGUCAUCUGGGGUCAAAAACUAGGUCACCAGGUCAAAUCAAAGGAAAAGCUUGUUAACACUCUAGAGGUCACAAUUUUGGCUCAAUCAUAAUGAAACUUGGUAGAAAUGUUACCCCAAAUAAAAUCUUGGACAAGUUCGAUUUUGUGUAAUCUGGUUUCAAAAACUAGGUCACAAGGUCAAAUAUAAAAGCAAGGAGUGGACGGCUAGAGGGAAGGAAAAAGCCGCAAAACUAUUGGCAGGGCUCCAGAUAAGAUAAAUAUUAGCGUAAAUUACGCUUUGAAAUAAUGCAUAUACGCAUGUGCGAUCAUUUUUAAGCGUAUAAAAACGUACAAGAAAUUACAGAAACUCCUGCAAUGACUUUUUACUAGCGUAAACAAACUCUGAAUCAUCUAAAGUCUUUACGUAACAAAGCACGGUCAGCAUUAAUUCUCCCACACGAAACGUACACACGCAUUGAAUGGUACUUUAUAAGUUAAACUAUAUUAUAUACCCAAUGCAUUCGUAAGUCAAAUAGUUGGGAAACAAUAUUGAUGGUACGAUAGUGUAUUCUAAAGCGGUGUCGAUCUGAGAUUGUAAAAAGUGAACAAACACUACGCAUCUUUAAACCAACAAGAACGAUCAUUAAAACAUAUUUAAAGCUAUAUUGACUAUUCUAUUGGAUUCAGUAGCGGUAUUGUAAGCAAAAGUAAACCAAGGGAGAACAAAAAGCAAAAACUUGAAUGCUGAAUUGAAUUCCAUGCAGAACCGAAAGGAAAAACUUUAAAAAUCUUCUUCUCAAAAACAAGAAGCCCUAGAGCUUAGAUAUUUGGUGUGAAGCAUUGCCUAGUUGACUCUACCAAAUUUGUUCAAAUCAUGACCAUGGGGUCAAAAUUGACCCCGCCCCAGGGGUCACUUGAUUUUACAUAGGAAAAUCUUAAAAAUCUUCUUCUCAAAAACCAGAAGCCCUAGAGCUUAGAUAUUUGCUAUGUAGCAUUGCCUAGUGGACCUCUACUAAAGUUGUUCAAAUCAUGACCCCGGGAUCAAAAUUGACCCCGCCCCAGAGGUCAUUUGAUUUUACAUAGAUUUCUAUAGGAAAAUAUUGAAAUUUUUUUUAAAAAAUAAACCAGAAGGCCUAGAGCUUAGAUAUUUGACAUGUAGCAUUGCCUAGUGGACCUCUACAAAAUGUGUUCAAAUCGUGACCCCCGGGGUCAAAAUUGACCCCGCCCCAGGGGUCACUUGAUUUUAUAUAGGAAAAUCUUCAAAAUUUUUCUAAAAAUAAACCCGAAGGCCUAGAUCUUAGAUAUUUGACAUGAAGCAUUGCCUAGUAGACUUCUACAAAAUUUGUUCAAAUCAUGACCCCCAGGGUCAAAUUGACCCCGCCCCAUGGGGUUACUUGAUUGUACAUAGAAAAAUCUUCAAAAUUUUCCAAAAAUAAACCAGAAGGCCUAGAGCCUAGAUAUUUGACAUGUAGCAUUGCCUAGUGGACCUCUAGAAAAUUGUUAAAAUCAUGACCCCCGGGUCAUAAUUGACCCCGCCCCAGGGGUCACUUGAUUUUAUAUAGGAAAAUCUUCAAGAUUUUUCUAAAAAUAAACCAGAAGUCCUAGAUCUUAGGUAGUUGACAAGUAGCAUUGCCUAGUAGACUUCUACAAAAUUUGUUCAAAUCAUGACCCCUGAGGUCCAAGUGAGCCUGCCCCAUUGGGGUUACUUGAUUGUACAUAGAAAAAUCUUCAAAAUUUGCUAAAAAUAAACCAGAAGGCCUAGAUCUUAGAUAUUUGAUAUGUAACAUUGCCUAGUAGACUUCUACAAACUUUGUUCAAAUCAUGAUCCCUGGGGUAAAAUUGGCCCUGCCCCAGGGGUUACUUGAUUAUACAUCGGAAAAUCUUCCAAAAAAUUUCUAAAAAUCAUCUGUUCGACAUUUGAAACAUGUAGCUCAUAAUACUCAGGUGAGCGAUCCAGGGUCAUCAUGACCCUCUUGUUUAGAGAAACUGCCAAAUUGUAGCUGAAUUGCUGAAAUUUUGCAACCUUUUAAUAAAUUCUUGUAACCACUUCAUGGUGAGCUUUUGUAACUGCUCUAUUUCCUUCAUGGGUUAUCCAUCGGUCAACAAUUUGUAAAAAAUUUACUUCAAAAUCACAGGGCAUAUUUACACCAAACUUAACAGGAAUUAUCCUUAGGUGACCCCCUACCAAAAUUGUUUAAAGAAUUCAUUUUCAUUUUUGGAAUUGUAUAUUUCAUUGUUUGAUAUUACUGUCUACAAAACAGAAUAUGUUUUACUGUAACAUUUACAUGAUGGGCAUAUAUUGUAUAUAAUUUUUACCUCAACUAUACGAAGAAUAAGGUGGGCUAUCCUACUCAACCUGGCAUUGGCGUCUUUCCGCGUCCCCACCUUAGUUGAAGUUUUUUUACACUUUCUUUUUUAGCUCACCUGUCACAUAGUGACAAGGUGAGCUUUUGUGAUCACCCUUCGUCCGUCGUCAGUCCGUGCGUGCGUCAACAAUUUCUUGUCUGCACGAUAGUGGUUUCAUUUAUGCUUUUAUUUUAACCAAACUUGCACACAACUUGUAUCACCAUGAGAUCUCGGUUCCUUUCUUGAGCUGGCCAGAUCCCAUUAUGGGUUCCAGAGUUAUGGCCCCUGAAAGGACCAAAAUCAGCUAUUUUGACCUUGUCUGCACAAUAGCAGCUUUAUUUUUGAUUUGAUUUUUACCAAACUGGCACACAACUUGUAUCACCAUAAGAUCUUGGUUCCUUUCUUGAACUGGCCAGAUUCCAUUAUGGGUUCCAGAGUUAUGGCCCCUGAAAAGGCCAGAAUUAGCUAUUUUGACCGUGUCUGCACAAUAGCAGCUUCAUUUAUGAUUUUAUUUUAACGAAACUUGCACACAACUUGUAUCACCAUAAGAUCUUGGUUCCUUUCUUGAACUGGCGAGAUUCCAUUAUGGGUUCCAGAGUGAUGGCCCCUGAAAGGGCCAGAAUUAGCUAUUUUGACCUUGUCUGCACAAUAGCAGCUUCAUUUAUGAUUUGAAUUUAAUCAAACUUGCACAAAACUUGUGUCACCAUAAGAUCUCGGUUCCUUUUUUGAAUCGGCCAGAUCCCCUAAUGGGUUCCAGAGUUAUGGCCCCUGAAAGGUCCAAAAUUAAAUAUUUUGACCUUGUCUGCACAAUAGCAGCUUCAUUUAUGAUUUUAUUUUAACCAAAGUUGCACACAACUUGUAUCACCACAAGAUCUUGCUUCCUUUCUUCAGCUGGCCAGAUUCCAUUAUGGGUUCCAGAGUUAUGGCCCCUUAAAGGUCCAAAAUUUGCUAUUUUGGCUUUUGCAGCCAUAUAGAGACUUCAUUUAUGGUUUUAUUUGAUACAAACUUCCAAAAUAUCUUCAACAACAAUAAAUCUUGGAUUCCAUGACAAAUCAGAUCCAGUCGUAGGUUCCAGAGUUAUUUUAUAUCUGAUUACCUCCCCUGAUUGUAAUCAAAAUGGAUUUAUAUCAGUAAGUACUUAUAGGACUUAUUUGAAAUUUCAUCAUUGUUAUUAGUUGGACUGAGACAAACAGGGUAGAUAACUAUGAACUGAUUUUAUGUCAAAUUACCUCCCUUUAUUAAUCCCCCGCCGUGGCGGAGAGAUUAUAGAAAUGGUCUGCGUCCAUCCUUCCGUUCGUAACAAAAUCAUGUCCGGUCCAUAUCUCCUAAACCCCUUGAAGGAUUUUCAUGAAACUUGGCUCAAAUGAUCACCUCAUCAAGACGAUGUGCAGAACCCAUGAGUCAGCCUUGUCGGUUCAAGGUCAAGGUCACAACUCAAGGUCGAAGGUUUGAGCCUUCCAUUUUGUGUCCGCUCUAUAUCUCUUAAACCCCUUGAAGGAAUUUUAUAAAACUUUGGUCAAAUGAUCACCUCAUCAAGACAAUGUGCAGAACCCAUGAGUCAGCCAUGCCGGCUCAAGGUCAAGGUCACAACUGAAGGUCAAAGGUUUGAGCCUUCCAUUUCGUGUCCG
Molecule: long non-coding RNA, 6828 nt
Organism: Mercenaria mercenaria
Lineage: Eukaryota; Metazoa; Mollusca; Bivalvia; Venerida; Veneridae
Exons: 3
Source: RefSeq, a predicted model, not a curated record